Molecule: small nuclear RNA, 153 nt
Filed under: Chelonoidis abingdonii (Abingdon island giant tortoise)
Lineage: Eukaryota; Metazoa; Chordata; Testudines; Testudinidae
Description: U4 spliceosomal RNA (ENSCABG00000012108.1)
Rfam family: U4 spliceosomal RNA
About the family: U4 small nuclear RNA (U4 snRNA) is a component of the major U2-dependent spliceosome.
Source: Rfam by way of RNAcentral
AGCUUUGCACAGUGGCAGUAUCAUAACCAAUGAAGUUAAUCUGAGAGUGUGAUUAUUGCUACUGAAAAUCUGCUCCUUUCCUGGUGAGAUGGUACAGUACUACUGGAACAGCAGAAACUGUUACCAUCUCCCCCUUUUGUUACACUCACCAGU